UCCAACGCCUCACGUUUUCCUUAUUUUUUAUUUCUGAUUUUAAUUUCCAUUUUAUUCUUUUAUUCCAUUUCAUUUAAAAAAAUCACAUCUCAUUCAUUUUAAUUCCAAAAAACAUGAGACCAAUUGCAUUAUUUCUCUUUUAAUAUUUUUUAUAUUAUUUCUCAUUUUAAUAUUUUUUAUUUUAUCAUUUGAUAUUUUUUAUGAAUUUUCUCUUUUCUGGUUGUUUUUAAUUCAUUUAAAAUAGUUUUUGAUAUUCAAA
This 259-nucleotide long non-coding RNA is filed under the name Lathyrus oleraceus (garden pea). RNAcentral describes it as "Pisum sativum (pea) long non-coding RNA (PSAT_LNC020554)". The record is from RNAcentral. Lineage: Eukaryota; Viridiplantae; Streptophyta; Magnoliopsida; Fabales; Fabaceae.